Molecule: unclassified non-coding RNA, 323 nt
Filed under: uncultured Solicoccozyma
Lineage: Eukaryota; Fungi; Basidiomycota; Tremellomycetes; Filobasidiales; Piskurozymaceae
Description: sequence contains ITS2
Source: RNAcentral
AACGCACCUUGCGCUCUUUGGGAUACCAAAGAUCAUGCCUGUUUGAGUGUUAUGAAAGUAUCAACCUUGACUUGGGUUUUGUGCUCUUGUCUUGCCUUGGAAUUGGGUGCUUGCCGCUUUUACGAGUGGCUCACCUUAAUUGAUUAGCUGGAUUUGUCUCCAGAUUCUGUUUUACUUGUUGUGAUAAGUAUUUCGCUCAGGCAUCCUUCGGAGUGGCCUAGUUUUGGGAUGCUUGUCAGCUUCUCAAUACGAGUUCCACCUCGCAGAUAUAACUUGUUUAUCAAACUGGCCUCAAACCACAUAGGAGUACCCACUGAACUGAA